CCGGGUAUAGCGCAGUUGGUAGCGCGCGCGCUUUGGGAGCGUGAGGCCGAGAGUUCAAGUCUCUCUACUCGGACCA
RNAcentral lists this transfer RNA (76 nucleotides) under Lawsonibacter faecis. Its description in RNAcentral is "tRNA-Pro". It matches the Rfam family "tRNA". Rfam says of the family: Transfer RNA (tRNA) molecules are approximately 80 nucleotides in length. Their secondary structure includes four short double-helical elements and three loops (D, anti-codon, and T loops). The record is from RNAcentral. Lineage: Bacteria; Bacillati; Bacillota; Clostridia; Eubacteriales; Oscillospiraceae.